RNAcentral lists this ribosomal RNA (575 nucleotides) under Rhodotorula mucilaginosa. Its description in RNAcentral is "LSU rRNA". It matches the Rfam family "Eukaryotic large subunit ribosomal RNA", at positions 75 to 667 of the family's 3401-position model. The record is from RNAcentral. Lineage: Eukaryota; Fungi; Basidiomycota; Microbotryomycetes; Sporidiobolales; Sporidiobolaceae.
UUCCCUAGUUAGCGGCGAGCGAGCGGGAAGAGCUCAAAUUUAUAAUCUGGCACCUUCGGUGUCCGAGUUGUAAUCUCUAGAAAUGUUUUCCGCGUUGGACCGCACACAAGUCUGUUGGAAUACAGCGGCAUAGUGGUGAGACCCCCGUAUAUGGUGCGGACGCCCAGCGCUUUGUGAUACAUUUUCGAAGAGUCGAGUUGUUUGGGAAUGCAGCUCAAAUUGGGUGGUAAAUUCCAUCUAAAGCUAAAUAUUGGCGAGAGACCGAUAGCGAACAAGUACCGUGAGGGAAAGAUGAAAAGCACUUUGGAAAGAGAGUUAACAGUACGUGAAAUUGUUGGAAGGGAAACGCUUGAAGUCAGACUUGCUUGCCGAGCAAUCGGUUUGCAGGCCAGCAUCAGUUUUCCGGGAUGGAUAAUGGUAGAGAGAAGGUAGCAGUUUCGGCUGUGUUAUAGCUCUCUGCUGGAUACAUCUUGGGGGACUGAGGAACGCAGUGUGCCUUUGGCGGGGGUUUCGACCUCUUCACACUUAGGAUGCUGGUGGAAUGGCUUUAAACGACCCGUCUUGAACCACGGACC